CUACUUUUCCGCUGAAGCACCCAGUGGUAAUCAAAUCGCCGGAUUUCUAGGAACCUCCGGCAAUGCUCUCAACUCCCUAGACGUUCACUUUGCUCCCAUUCCUCCCGCUGGUAGCAUCGGACCAAAACCUGAUGAACCCGAAACCAAACCUCCCGGCCAAGAAGAUUCAAAAGGUGAUGGCUCCGGAAUCAAACCUCCCGGCCAAGAAGAUUCAAAAGGUGAUGGUUUCGAAACCAAACCUCCAGGCCAAGAGGAUUCAAAAGGUGAUGGCUCCGGAACCAAACCUCCUGGCAAAGAAGAUUCAAAAGGUGAUGGCUCCGGAACCAAACCUCCUGGCAAAGAGGAUUCAAAAGGUGAUGGCUCCGGACCAAACCUCCCGGCAAAGAAGAUUCAAAAGGUGAUGGCUCUGGAGCCAAACCUCCUGGCCAAGAAGAUUCAAAAGGUGAUGGCCCCGGAAAGACUGGGCUGAUCGGUGGUAACAGUGGAGACGCAUUUGAUGAUGGUCGUUUUGGUGGUGUGAAGAAAAUAACUGUUGGAGCAGAUGAAUACAGUGUGACUUACAUCAAGAUUGAGUACGUAAAGGACGGAAAAGUUCAAACCCUUGAACACGGGACUAUUCGCGGGGAACUACAAGAGGUCAGAAUGAAUUAAUUUUUUUUUUUUUGUGAAUUUUGUUAAUACUCAAAUGGUUUGGUACUAAUUCAUGUGUUUCUAAUGGGAAAUCAAAUACAGUUUUCGGUGGAUUAUCCAAAGGAACAUAUCACAGCUGUUGGUGGAAGCUACGAUCAUAUUUUUACCUACGAUACAACGCUUAUCACAUCGCUAUACUUCACAACCUCCAAUGGAAUUACCUCUCCAUUAUUUGGUAAGCAGAGUGGAAAAGACUUCAAUCUCAAAGGUGAAAAUGGAGGAAAGCUUGUUGGAUUCCAUGGCCGUGGUGGAGCUGCUAUAAAUGCCAUUGGAGCUUACUUUGACACCAGUUCGAAAGGAGGUGACGAUACAAAACCUGUUGACACUGACACCAAACCCGGCAAAGACGAUUCAAAACCUGAUGCCUCGGGAAAGACGGGACUGCUUGGUGGUAAAGGUGGAAACGCAUUUGACGAUGGUCGUUUUGAUGGUGUAAAGAAAAUAACUGUGGGAGCGGAUGAUUUAAGUGUGACCUAUAUCAAGAUAGAAUACAUUAAAGAUGGAAAGGUCGAAAUCCGUGAACAUGGGACGAAUCGCGGGGAA
Molecule: long non-coding RNA, 1233 nt
Filed under: Eutrema salsugineum
Lineage: Eukaryota; Viridiplantae; Streptophyta; Magnoliopsida; Brassicales; Brassicaceae
Description: long non-coding RNA (ESAL_LNC000288)
Source: RNAcentral